Molecule: long non-coding RNA, 975 nt
Organism: Cyprinus carpio carpio
Lineage: Eukaryota; Metazoa; Chordata; Actinopteri; Cypriniformes; Cyprinidae
Source: Ensembl
AUAUAUAUUUGACUUUGAAACAGCAGUCACUAUGAGCAGUAACUGUGAGGAUAAGUAACUGAAUUCAGUCACUAUUAAAUAAUUAAACAUAAUAAAUUGGAAUCUGUGAAAAUACAUUGGAUCUCUCCAGUUGUUCUGGCACAUCCCACUCUCAAACUCCGAUCUCUAUUAUUCGUUUAAUCUGACUUAUCUGCGUGAGCUCUCAACCAAUGAUUCACCAGCAAUCCACAAGGACCGCCCUCCUCAUUUUCAUGUUGCACACGGAAAAGUAAAAAUAAAUAAAUAAAUAAAUAAAUCUGGAAAUAAAUACACGUGGGAAUAAAUAAAUACAUAUAAAAAAUUAAUAAAUAAAUAAAAAUAAAACUCUCGUCCUGCCCAGUCACGGCUAUGGAUGCCGCUCAUGAAUCCUCGUCCUGCCCAGUCACGGCUAUGGAGGCCAUUUCUGAACUCUCAUCUUGCCAAGUCACGGCUAUGGAAGCCGUUAAUGAACUCUCGCCCUGUCCUGUCACGGCUAAGGAGGCCGCCUAUGAAUCUUCAUCCAUUCAAGUCUCGGUCCUUGGGGCCAUGAAUCCUCUGUCUAUGUUGUCUGUCUCUGCUUCUUCCAGGCUCCAGUCCCAAGCAUGCUGUCCUAGCCAGUUCAGUCUACCCAUCCACUCUGUCUGCUCCACCCAGGAGGGUUCCAGGGCCGUCCACUCUGCCUGUCUUUUUGUAUCUCACCCUCUCUUAGGUUCCGGUUACUACCCGGGGUCUCUGUUCUGCCUGAUCCGUCCUGGGGGCGUCCGAGUCGCCGCCCGAUCCGCCCUGGUGGCCGUCUGCCUUGUCUGCUUCGCCCUGUUGGGCGGCUGGUUCAAUCCCAUCUCUCCAUCCCCUCAUGGACCUGACCCUCCGUCCCUCCCCCUGUUCCGCCUCCGCUUUACCACCCUCCUGUAGUCAAGUCAAGUCAAGUCAUCUUUAUUUCUAAAACGCUUUAUGCAA